Molecule: long non-coding RNA, 402 nt
Filed under: Theobroma cacao (cacao)
Lineage: Eukaryota; Viridiplantae; Streptophyta; Magnoliopsida; Malvales; Malvaceae
Description: long non-coding RNA (TCAC_LNC001640)
Source: RNAcentral
UCAUUAAAUAGCCUUGGCGGUCUCAGUGGGAUACCUUGACGAAGGUACCCGCGAGAAUGAUUCUGGCAGGGGUCAAGUUUAAGAAAUUCAUAAGCCGAGAAAUUUUGAUGAAAAGAAAUUAUUUGGUAUAGAUUGAAACGAAUUUUGUGUUAUGAACAUUAUUGAGAUAUAACGUUUUUAUAUUGUCUCCAUCUACUCGGCUUUAGAUGCUUUUGAUGGUAAUUGUUUACUCACUGAGAUUAUGUAAUCAUAAUCUCACCCCUCUUCCUAUCUAUUUUUCAAGCUCAGGACAAUUUGUUGAUAGUUGAUUAAGACGAGAAUUAAUCUCAGAGUUGCAUCCUAGAAAGUAAGGAUUCGUAGCCCUACAUCUUCUUAGUCAGUUGGGGGCCCAUGUGUCACUGU